RNAcentral lists this ribosomal RNA (326 nucleotides) under Blastocystis sp. subtype 2. Its description in RNAcentral is "SSU rRNA". It matches the Rfam family "Eukaryotic small subunit ribosomal RNA", at positions 23 to 369 of the family's 1831-position model. Lineage: Eukaryota; Bigyra; Opalinata; Blastocystidae. The record is from RNAcentral.
GUCAUACGCUCGUCUCAAAGAUUAAGCCAUGCAUGUGUAAGUAUAACUAAUUGACUUUGAAACUGCGAAUGGCUCAUUAUAUCAGUUAUAGUUUAUUUGGUGAAGGAUACUAAUUGGAUAACCGUAGUAAUUCUAGGGCUAAUACAUGAGUAAAGUCCCGUGGGAUGUGUUUAUUAGAAUGAAAACCAUAUGCUUCGGCAUGAUAGUGAGUAAUAGUAACCUAUCGUAUCGCAUGCUUAAGUAGCGAUGAGUCUUUCAAGUUUCUGCCCUAUCAGCUUUCGAUGGUAGCAUAUGGGUCUACCAUGGCAGUAACGGGUAACGAAGAA